RNAcentral lists this ribosomal RNA (501 nucleotides) under uncultured bacterium. RNAcentral describes it as "partial 16S ribosomal RNA". It matches the Rfam family "Bacterial small subunit ribosomal RNA", at positions 30 to 523 of the family's 1533-position model. The record is from RNAcentral.
AUUGAACGCUGGCGGCAGGCUUAACACAUGCAAGUCGAGCGGGGGAAGGUAGCUUGCUACCGGACCUAGCGGCGGACGGGUGAGUAAUGCUUAGGAAUCUGCCUAUUAGUGGGGGACAACAUCUCGAAAGGGAUGCUAAUACCGCAUACGUCCUACGGGAGAAAGCAGGGGAUCUUCGGACCUUGCGCUAAUAGAUGAGCCUAAGUCGGAUUAGCUAGUUGGUGGGGUAAAGGCCUACCAAGGCGACGAUCUGUAGCGGGUCUGAGAGGAUGAUCCGCCACACUGGGACGGAGACACGGCCCAGACGCCUACGAGAGGCAGCAGUGGGGAAUAUUGGACAAUGGGGGGAACCCUGAUCCAGCCAUGCCGCGUGUGUGAAGAAGGCCUUAUGGUUGUAAAGCACUUUAAGCGAGGAGGAGGCUACUCUAGUUAAUACCUAGGGAUAGUGGACGUUACUCGCAGAAUAAGCACCGGCUAACUCUGUGCCAGCCGCCGCCGUAA